Molecule: unclassified non-coding RNA, 343 nt
Filed under: soil metagenome
Description: partial contains 5.8S ribosomal RNA, internal transcribed spacer 2, and large subunit ribosomal RNA
Rfam family: 5.8S ribosomal RNA (bases 1-120)
Source: RNAcentral
GAUGAAGAACGUAGCGAAAUGCGAUAAGUAAUGUGAAUUGCAGAAUUCAGUGAAUCAUCGAAUCUUUGAACGCACAUUGCGCCCGCCAGCAUUCUGGCGGGCAUGCCUGUUCGAGCGUCAUUUCAACCCUCGAGCCCCCCCGGGGGCCUCGGUGUUGGGGGACGGCACACCAGCCGCCCCCGAAAUGCAGUGGCGACCCCGCCGCAGCCUCCCCUGCGUAGUAGCACACACCUCGCACCGGAGCGCGGAGGCGGUCACGCCGUAAAACGCCCAACUUUCUUAGAGUUGACCUCGGAUCAGGUAGGAAUACCCGCUGAACUUAAGCAUAUCAAUAAGCAGAGCA